Molecule: transfer RNA, 90 nt
Filed under: Nonomuraea glycinis
Lineage: Bacteria; Bacillati; Actinomycetota; Actinomycetes; Streptosporangiales; Streptosporangiaceae
Description: tRNA-Pro
Source: RNAcentral
AAGGUGUGCGCCAGGUUGUGCACCGCGGCCUUGGUCGCCGCGUACACGGAGGCGCCCGGCAGACCGUGGUGCAGCGUCCACGACGCGUUG